RNAcentral lists this ribosomal RNA (415 nucleotides) under uncultured bacterium. RNAcentral's name for it is "bacterial SSU rRNA". It matches the Rfam family "Bacterial small subunit ribosomal RNA", at positions 358 to 774 of the family's 1533-position model. The record is from RNAcentral.
GGAAUAUUCCACAAUGGGGGAAACCCUGAUGGAGCGACGCCGCGUGAGUGAAGAAGGGCUUCGGCUCGUAAAGCUCUUUUAUCCCGGACGAAUGACCUAUUAGAUAGGUAGAGACGGUACGGGGUGAAUAAGCCACGGCUAACUACGUGCCAGCAGCCGCGGUAAUACGUAGGUGGCAAGCGUUGUCCGGAAUUAUUGGGCGUAAAGGGAGCGCAGGCGGGACUUCAAGUCCAAAUUAAAAGUUCGGGAGUAAUGCCCGUGAUGGUUUGGAAACUGAAGUUCUUGAGAGCAGGAGAGGCAAGCGGAAUUCCCGGUGUAGAGGUGAAAUGCGUAGAUAUCGGGAGGAACACCAGUGGCGAAGGCGGCUUGCUGGACUGUGUCUGACGCUGAGGCUCGAAAGCCAGGGUAGCGAACA